Long non-coding RNA from Oenanthe melanoleuca, 491 nucleotides. RefSeq lists it as uncharacterized. Lineage: Eukaryota; Metazoa; Chordata; Aves; Passeriformes; Muscicapidae. The record is from RefSeq and is a predicted model, not a curated record. The transcript has 2 exons.
AAGGCCGCGCGACAGCGACACUCGGUAUUUAUACAGCGCGGGCAUCUCGCGAGAGCAGUGUCCGCCCUGCGAGCUGAAUGAGGAAUACACCGCGGGCUGAAACGAACUAUUUAUGAUAAAUUAUACAGAGUAUGGGGCGGCAGCGCCCGGCAGUGCCAGCCCAGUAAGCUGAAUGAUGAAUACACCGCGGGCUGGAACGAGCGAUUUAUGAUAAAUUAUACAGAGUGCGGGGCGGGCGCGACUCCCGGGAUAAACGGGCGUGCACGGCCGGCGCCCUCAGAGCGCGUCGGGGCUGCGGUAGGUGCCGAUCCCGGCCGCUGAGAGCCGCGGCCCCGCCGGGGCUGGGCUGGCACUUCACGGCGAUCCCUUCCCCGGAGGAGCUGUGAAGAGCACGGGGAUGCCGUGAUGGAUGGCGACAUGGGAGUCACAGCUAAAAAUUACUCGUUUUGUACUUUGAUGUGCAAUAAAAGAUUAAAUGAUUAAAAGAUAAA